AUGAAAAUGCAUAUUAUUCAAUUUUCCUGCGAUAUGUUAUUUUGCAUGAAAAGAAGUAUUUGAAUAUGUAUGAGCAGACGCCUGCGAGAUCCACUUGGAGAAUGUCAGUAGAGCAAUCAUGCAAUGCGGUUCCCAAGUUAAUCAACAAGCUGCCAAAGAUUGAUGAAGAUAGGCCAGGUGGAGAGAGAGAAUAGGAGUUGCAAAUUCUGAUAAUAUAAUAUUGGCCAGAGACAACUUGAAAUGGCCAUGCAAUUUAACAAAAUAGGCUUCACAUGUUAUCUGCUUCAAUGCAUCAGAAACUAUUCUUGAAGUUAACAAAUGACUUCAACGAUGUGGAAACAGCUGGUACUGAAUGCGGAAUGUAGUUGUGUGUCGCUGUUGGCCGCCUCGACGCAUUCCC
Long non-coding RNA from Rhodamnia argentea, 400 nucleotides. RefSeq lists it as uncharacterized. Lineage: Eukaryota; Viridiplantae; Streptophyta; Magnoliopsida; Myrtales; Myrtaceae. The record is from RefSeq and is a predicted model, not a curated record. The transcript is spliced from 2 exons.